This 253-nucleotide ribosomal RNA is filed under the name uncultured bacterium. RNAcentral describes it as "partial 16S ribosomal RNA". It matches the Rfam family "Bacterial small subunit ribosomal RNA", at positions 524 to 776 of the family's 1533-position model. The record is from RNAcentral.
UACGAAGGGGGCUAGCGUUGUUCGGAUUUACUGGGCGUAAAGCGUACGUAGGCGGUUUGUUAAGUCGGGGGUGAAAUCCUGGAGCUCAACUCCAGAAUUGCCUUCGAUACUGGCUUUCUAGAGGCUGGAAGAGGUUAGUGGAAUUCCCAGUGUAGAGGUGAAAUUCGUAGAUAUUGGGAAGAACACCAGUGGCGAAGGCGGCUAACUGGUCCAGAUCUGACGCUGAGGUGCGAAAGCGUGGGGAGCAAACAGG